UACGUAGGGUGCGAGCGUUAAUCGGAUUUACUGGGCGUAAAGCGUGCGCAGGCGGUUUGUUAAGCGAGAUGUGAAAGCCCCGGGCUCAACCUGGGAACCGCAUUUCGAACUGGCAAACUAGAGUCUUGUAGAGGGGGGUAGAAUUCCAGGUGUAGCGGUGAAAUGCGUAGAUAUCGGGAGGAACACCAGUAGCGAAGGCGGCCAUCUGGCUGGUAACUGACGCUGAGGUGCGAGAGCGUGGGGAGCAAACAGG
Molecule: ribosomal RNA, 253 nt
Filed under: uncultured microorganism
Description: partial 16S ribosomal RNA
Rfam family: Bacterial small subunit ribosomal RNA
Source: RNAcentral